This 465-nucleotide ribosomal RNA is filed under the name Vreelandella stevensii. RNAcentral describes it as "partial 16S ribosomal RNA". It matches the Rfam family "Bacterial small subunit ribosomal RNA", at positions 338 to 795 of the family's 1533-position model. Lineage: Bacteria; Pseudomonadati; Pseudomonadota; Gammaproteobacteria; Oceanospirillales; Halomonadaceae. The record is from RNAcentral.
CCUACGGGUGGCUGCAGUGGGGAAUAUUGGACAAUGGGCGAAAGCCUGAUCCAGCCAUGCCGCGUGUGUGAAGAAGGCCUUCGGGUUGUAAAGCACUUUCAGUGGGGAAGAAAGCCUUGGGGCUAAUACCCUCGAGGAAGGACAUCACCCACAGAAGAAGCACCGGCUAACUCCGUGCCAGCAGCCGCGGUAAUACGGAGGGUGCGAGCGUUAAUCGGAAUUACUGGGCGUAGAGCGCGCGUAGGCGGUCUGAUAAGCCGGUUGUGAAAGCCCCGGGCUCAACCUGGGAACGGCAUCCGGAACUGGCAGGCUAGAGUGCAGGAGAGGAAGGUAGAAUUCCCGGUGUAGCGGUGAAAUGCGUAGAGAUCGGGAGGAAUACCAGUGGCGAAGGCGGCCUUCUGGACUGACACUGACGCUGAGGUGCGAAAGCGUGGGUAGCAAACAGGAUUAGAUACCCGAGUAGUC